CCUCUUCCACAGUAUGCUCAAUAAAGUAAAUUUUAAAAAAAGGGCAAAUAGCAAAGAGACUAUGGAUUCAAUGCAAUCCUUAUAUAUACACCCCCAUUCCUUGCUAGUGCUGGCGACUGGACCCAGGGUUUUGUACCUGUGGCUUACCAAAACUUAGCUGUUUAUUUUCUGAAAAUAUGUUCUUAAAUUUCAUUUGGAAAUGGCAAGGGAUUCCCCCCACCGAAAAAAAGCCAAAACAAAGAGAGGGUUUUACACUGUCCAUUCAUAAAUCAGAAUGACUGAAUGGACUUACAGGAAACACAUGCAUCCCCUCACCCACAAAUUAAAGGCUGAGAUGGCUCUCGGAGCUGAGGAGAUGGAGGUCUGAGGCGUCCCUUCCGUCUGCAGCCAGUGAGUCUAAAGCGGUAGUAUAGGGCCGGCUGGCAAGCCAGGUCAGCAGGUAGCGCACGUGCCAUCCAAGCCUGAUGACCUAAGUUCUGACUGCUGGGCGUCACGGAGCAGAGAACCAACUCCCGGAAGUGGUCCUCUGACCUCUACAUGGGCUGAGGCAUGCGUGCGCCUGCGCAUCAGGUGCGCAUGCGGAUAAUAAUGACAUCGAUAGAGCACUACGCUUGUUCCUGGAGAUUUGCAAGACGCCAGCAUCAUCAGAAAUGCAGAGGAGUGUUUGAGGGCUCAGCAUCUCCUUGGCUCAUCCUGACUGGGUUCUAAUCCUUGGCAUUUGAGUGGCAAGUGCUUGCUUGGAACAGCCAAAACCCAAGAUUCUUGGGUAGGAAAUCAAGAGCAGAUGAGAGUGCGAGAACAUUCUGGAAGCUGUUUAUGGAAAUGGUCACAGUCAAACGUGGUCCCAUCCCACUGCUGUUUGUCACACUGGGCAAGAAGAGGUCCCGGGACCUGUUGCAAUAGUAGCUGGAGACGCAGCUCCCGCUAAUGCUCUCAGGGACACCUGACAAUUCUCAGGUUACAAGACAUCCGUGCUUUCUCCCAAUUCACAAACUGUCAAGAGGGGUACGCCAGCUGCCUGGUAACUCUACUGUCACCGCCACGUGUACAGAUUCCCUUAACAUCCGGAUGACUGUGGAUACUAGUUAGCAGUCCUAAUUUUGAUGCGCACUGUAACCAGCUACCUCACACUGCUCCUGGCAUGCCUACUCUUCCACGGUGGACUAUAUCCCUUCCUUCUUAGAUGAUCCAACAAGGCUCUUGUGGCUUCAGGAUACAGCGAGGAGGAGGAGGACAUUGGAAGAGGAGCCACAUUGGUGAACAGAGAACAGUGAGAGCAGGGAGGAGCAGCAGCCAUUGGGGACGACUCUCCAAAUGCCUAGCACGCCAGGCCUGGGGUGCAGAAGAAACUCAUCAACGGCAGAACUCGACUUCUCACACUUCAGGGGGAAAUGUCAAUCACAGCUCAGGAGGGUAAUGUCAUGGCAUAUUUGAGAUGGUUCAUAGAUGGCACCUCCUCAUUGGAUCCUCCCAGGGGCAAAGGAGCAGUGGGUCUCUCCCAGCCUUUUUUCACAAGUGUGCUGAUGUCACUUCUGGGGGCUCUAGACUCGUGACCUCAAUGUCCCUGCCCUAAUGCCAUCACGAUGAGCAUGUCUCAUUGCAUAUGAACUUCGUGUGUCUCAUUACAUAUGGCUCAUAACAUACAUACAUUGGAUGACGCUAACAUCAGACCACAUGUGUUGGUAAUACUGACUGUCACCUUGACAGGUUCUGGGGUAACCUAGGAGAUGAACCUUGUACUGGCUGGUUCUGUAUGUCAACUCAACACAAGCUGCAGUUAUCA
This 1783-nucleotide small RNA is filed under the name Rattus norvegicus (Norway rat). RNAcentral describes it as "uncharacterized LOC102552357". Lineage: Eukaryota; Metazoa; Chordata; Mammalia; Rodentia; Muridae. The record is from RNAcentral.